CCUCAAAAGGCACCGAAUUGAA
Molecule: unclassified non-coding RNA, 22 nt
Filed under: Mus musculus (house mouse)
Lineage: Eukaryota; Metazoa; Chordata; Mammalia; Rodentia; Muridae
Description: oocyte_clustered_small_RNA8350
Source: RNAcentral